GCGAAGGCACCGGCGGCGAUCGACCCGGCGCUGCUCGAUGACAUCAUCAGCCGCUUGCUGGAGGUCCGAUCGGCGCGGCCGGGGAAGCAGGUGCAGCUCUCCGAGGCCGAGAUCCGCCAGCUCUGCCUCGUAUCCCGCGACAUCUUUCUCCAGCAGCCAUGCCUCCUCGAGCUGGAAGCCCCAAUCAAGAUCUGCGGUGACAUUCAUGGCCAGUAUAGUGAUCUUCUAAGACUUUUUGAAUAUGGAGGUUUUCCGCCGGAUGCCAAUUAUUUAUUUUUAGGUGAU
Molecule: unclassified non-coding RNA, 285 nt
Filed under: Hevea brasiliensis (rubber tree)
Lineage: Eukaryota; Viridiplantae; Streptophyta; Magnoliopsida; Malpighiales; Euphorbiaceae
Source: RNAcentral